CCUACGAGUGACUGCAGUGAGGAAUAUUGGUCAAUGGGCUUACGCCUGAACCAGCCAAGUCGCGUGAGGGAAGACUGCCCUAUGGGUUGUAAACCUCUUUUGUCAGGGAGCAACGCCGGCUACGUGUAGCCGGACUGAGAGUACCUGAAGAAAAAUCAUCGGCUAACUCCGUGCCAGCAGCCGCGGUAAUACGGAGGAUGCGAGCGUUAUCCGGAUUUAGUGGGGUGAAAGGGUGCUUAGGUGGAAUGCCAAGUCAGCGGUAAAAUCGCGGGGCUAAACCUCGCUCCGCAGUUGAAACUGGCGUUCUUGAGUGGAAGAGUAGUAUGCGGAAUGCGUGGUGUAGCGAUGAAAUGCAUAGAUAUCACGCAGAACCCCGAUUGCGAAGGCAGCAUGCCGGCUUCCGACUGACGCUGAAGCACGAAAGCGUGGGGAUCGAACAGGAUUAGAUACCCCAGUAGUC
Molecule: ribosomal RNA, 460 nt
Filed under: uncultured bacterium
Lineage: Bacteria
Description: partial 16S ribosomal RNA
Rfam family: Bacterial small subunit ribosomal RNA
Source: RNAcentral